AUUGAACGCUGGCGGCAGGCCUAACACAUGCAAGUCGAACGAGUGGCGGACGGGUGAGUAAUGUCUGGGAAACUGCCUGAUGGCUGGGGAUAACUACUGGAAACGGUAGCUAAUACCGCAUACCAUCGGAUGUUCCCAGAUGGGAUUAGCUAGUGGGUGGGGUAACGGCUCACCUAGCCGACGAUCCCUAGCUGGUCUGAGAGGAUGACCAGCCACACUGGAACGGAGACACGGUCAAGAUUCCUCCGGGAGGCAGCAGAGGGGAAUAUUGCACAAUGGGCGCAAGCCUGAUGCAGCAAUGCCGCGUGUGUGAAGAGGGCCUUCGGGUUGUAAAGCACUUUGAGCGGGGAGGCGUUACCCGCAGAAGAAGCACCGGCUAACUCCGUGCCAGCAGCCGCGGUAAUAC
Molecule: ribosomal RNA, 406 nt
Filed under: uncultured bacterium
Lineage: Bacteria
Description: partial 16S ribosomal RNA
Rfam family: Bacterial small subunit ribosomal RNA
Source: RNAcentral